GGGCCUUGGGUCCAUACAUGAUCCGAGGUCACCUGGGAUAAAAAUUUGGGUUGAUCGGCAAGCGCCGGCCGGGCCUACAGAGCGGGUGACAAAGCCCCAUACGCUCGAGGACCGGACGCGGUGCCGCCGCUGCCUUUCGGGCCCGUCCCCCGGAGAUCGGGGGACGGGGCCCAACACACAAGCCGGGCUUGAGGGCAGCAAUGACGCUCGGACAGGCAUGCCCCCCGGAAUACCAGGGGGCGCAAUGUGCGUUCAAAGACUCGAUGAUUCACUGAAUUUGCAAUUCACAUUACGUAUCGCAUUUCGCUGCGUUCUUCAUCGAUGCCGGAACCAAGAGAUCCGUUGUUGAAAGUUUUAAAUAAUUUAUAUUUUCACUCAGACUUCAAUCUUCAGACAGAGUUCGAGGGUGUCUUCGGCGGGCGCGGGCCCGGGGGCGUAAGCCCCCCGGCGGCCAGUUAAGGCGGGCCCGCCGAAGCAACAAGGUAAAAUAAACACGGGUGGGAGGUUGGACCCAGAGGGCCCUCACUCGGUAAUGAUCCUUCCGCAGGCACCCCUACCGAAAACCCUUU
RNAcentral lists this unclassified non-coding RNA (569 nucleotides) under Penicillium crustosum. RNAcentral's name for it is "sequence contains ITS1, 5.8S rRNA gene and ITS2". Lineage: Eukaryota; Fungi; Ascomycota; Eurotiomycetes; Eurotiales; Aspergillaceae. The record is from RNAcentral.